RNAcentral lists this ribosomal RNA (497 nucleotides) under uncultured bacterium. RNAcentral's name for it is "partial 16S ribosomal RNA". It matches the Rfam family "Bacterial small subunit ribosomal RNA", at positions 28 to 507 of the family's 1533-position model. The record is from RNAcentral.
GAUGAACGCUGGCGGCGUGCCUAAUACAUGCAAGUCGAGCGAACGGACGAGAAGCUUGCUGGUCUGAUGUUAGCGGCGGACGGGUGAGUAACACGUGGAUAACCUACCUAUAAGACGGGGAUAACUUCGGGAAACCGGAGCUAAUACCGGAGAAUAUUUUGAACCGCAUGGUUCAAAAGUGAAAGACGGUCGUGCUGUCACUUAUAGAGGGAUCCGCGCUGCAUUAGCUAGUUGUGAAGUUAACGGGUUACCAAGGCAACGAUGCAUAGCCGACCUGAGAGGGUGAUAGGCCACCCUGGAACGUGACCACGGUCCAGGCUCCUACGGGACGCAGCAGUCGGGAACCUUCCGCAGCGGUCGAAAGCAUUACGGAGUAACGCCGCGCCUGUGACGACGGUCCUCGGUUCGUAAAACUCUGUUACUAGUGAUGAACAUAUGUGGACGUUACCGUGGACAUCUUGACGGUAACUAAUCAGAAAGCCCCGGCUAACUACGUG